UCUCCUCCUCUCCUCUCUUCUCUUCUCCUCUCUCCUCUCCUCUCAUCCUCUCCUCCUCUCCUCCUCUCGUCUCCUCUCCUCUAUUCUCCUCUAUUCUCCUCUCUUCUCCUCUCUUCUCCUCUCCUCUCCUCCUCUCUUUUCCUCUCUUCUCCUCCUCUCCUCUCUCCUCCUCUCCUCUCAUCUCCUCUCAUCUCCUCUCUUCUCCUCUCCUCCUCUCCUCUCUUCUCCUCUCUUCUCCUCCUCUCCUCUCUCCUCCUCUAUUCUCCUCCUCUCCUCUCUUCGCUCUCUUCUUCUCCUCCUCUCCUCUCUCCUCCUCUCCUCUCUCCUCUCAUCUCCUCUCUCCUCCUCUCCUCCUCUCCUCUCUUCUCCUCUCUUCUCCUCUCUUCUCCUCUCUCCUCUCAUCCUCUCCUCCUCUCCUCCUCCCCUCGUCUCCUCUCCUCUAUUCUCCUCUAUUCACUUCUCCUCUCUUCUCCUCUCCUCUCCUCCUCUCCUCUUCUCCUCCUCUCUUCUCCUCUCCUCCUCUCCUCCUCUCCUCCUCCUCUCCUCUCCUCUCUCUAUUCUCCUCUCUUCUCCUCUCUUCUUCCUCUCUUCUCCUCUAUUCUCCUCUCUUCUCCUCUCCUCCUCCUCUCUCUCUCUUCUCCUCCUCUCCUCUCUUCUCUCUCAUCCUCUCUUCCUAUCCUCCUCGCCUCCUCUCCUCCUCCUCCUCUCUUCUCCUCUCUUCUCCUCUCUUCUCCUCCUCUCCUAAACUCCUCCUCUCCUCCUCUCCUCUCCUCUCCUUUUCUCUCUCUCCUCUCCUCUCUCCUCCUCUCGUCUCCUCCUCUCGUCUCGUCUCCUCUAUUCUCCUCUCCUCUCUUCUCCUCUCUUCUCCUCUCUCCUCUCCUCUCUCUCUCCUCUCCUCCUCUCCUCCUCUCGUCUCCUCUCUUCUAUUCUCCUCUAUUCUCCUCUCUUUUCCUCCUCUCCUCUCGUCUCCUCUCUCCUCUCUCUCUUCUCCUCCCUCUCCUCUCUUCUCCUCUCCUCUCUCCUCCUCUCCUCCUCUUCUCUCUCCUCCUCUCCUCUCCUCUCCUCUCCUUUCUUCUCCUCUCUUCUCCUCUCUUCUCCUCUCCUCCUCUCCUCUCCUCUCAUCUCCUCUCUCCUCCUCAUCUCCUCUCUUCCUCCUCUCCUCCUCUCUCCUCCUCUCCUCCUCUCCUCUCCUUUUCUUCUCUCUCCUCUCCUCUCUUCUCCUCCUCUCCUCCACUCCUCCUCUCCUCUCUCUCCUCUCCUCUCCUCUCCUCUCCUCCUCUCCUCUCCUCUCCUCUCCUCCCCUCUCCUCUCCUCUCCUCUCCUCUCGCCCCCGCAGCCUCCUGAGCACAGCUGUCUACAUGGCAGGGCUGUUUUCACUGACAGGCUGUGAGAGCCAUGAAACAGGAGGGCACCAGGGACCUGGGCCACCUCGACAACAUGCGCCCCCACAAUCUGCUGUUCACAGUGUACCCCAACCCUCUCCCUGUCUCUCUG
RNAcentral lists this long non-coding RNA (1494 nucleotides) under Cottoperca gobio. RNAcentral describes it as "lncRNA (ENSCGOG00000011950.1)". Lineage: Eukaryota; Metazoa; Chordata; Actinopteri; Perciformes; Bovichtidae. The record is from RNAcentral.